RNAcentral lists this long non-coding RNA (287 nucleotides) under Homo sapiens (human). RNAcentral's name for it is "HSALNT0320443". Lineage: Eukaryota; Metazoa; Chordata; Mammalia; Primates; Hominidae. The record is from RNAcentral.
CGCUUGGGUACCACCAUUCAGGUACCGAGAUGCCCAGUUACCAUUCAGAGCUCCACAGAAAAUGCUGGCUCAGAUUACUCCUCUCAUCCCAACCCCAAACACUGCAAAAGGCCCAGGGGAAGAAGAGAGGAGACCAAGAAAACCCUUGUGUCUUCAAACAUUGCCUGGAUAUACAUCAACACAGAAAAGUGCAGCUAGCAGAUCUGAAGGCAACAGGCUUUCCCCUUCCCUUCUCCAUGACCCUUUGCAAAAAUCAGAUCCAAAAUUAAAAGGCUAUUAACUUCCUG